RNAcentral lists this ribosomal RNA (913 nucleotides) under Vibrio parahaemolyticus. RNAcentral describes it as "bacterial SSU rRNA". It matches the Rfam family "Bacterial small subunit ribosomal RNA", at positions 623 to 1533 of the family's 1533-position model. Lineage: Bacteria; Pseudomonadati; Pseudomonadota; Gammaproteobacteria; Vibrionales; Vibrionaceae. The record is from RNAcentral.
GCAUUUGAAACUGGCAGACUAGAGUACUGUAGAGGGGGGUAGAAUUUCAGGUGUAGCGGUGAAAUGCGUAGAGAUCUGAAGGAAUACCGGUGGCGAAGGCGGCCCCCUGGACAGAUACUGACACUCAGAUGCGAAAGCGUGGGGAGCAAACAGGAUUAGAUACCCUGGUAGUCCACGCCGUAAACGAUGUCUACUUGGAGGUUGUGGCCUUGAGCCGUGGCUUUCGGAGCUAACGCGUUAAGUAGACCGCCUGGGGAGUACGGUCGCAAGAUUAAAACUCAAAUGAAUUGACGGGGGCCCGCACAAGCGGUGGAGCAUGUGGUUUAAUUCGAUGCAACGCGAAGAACCUUACCUACUCUUGACAUCCAGAGAACUUUCCAGAGAUGGAUUGGUGCCUUCGGGAACUCUGAGACAGGUGCUGCAUGGCUGUCGUCAGCUCGUGUUGUGAAAUGUUGGGUUAAGUCCCGCAACGAGCGCAACCCUUAUCCUUGUUUGCCAGCGAGUAAUGUCGGGAACUCCAGGGAGACUGCCGGUGAUAAACCGGAGGAAGGUGGGGACGACGUCAAGUCAUCAUGGCCCUUACGAGUAGGGCUACACACGUGCUACAAUGGCGCAUACAGAGGGCAGCCAACUUGCGAAAGUGAGCGAAUCCCAAAAAGUGCGUCGUAGUCCGGAUUGGAGUCUGCAACUCGACUCCAUGAAGUCGGAAUCGCUAGUAAUCGUGGAUCAGAAUGCCACGGUGAAUACGUUCCCGGGCCUUGUACACACCGCCCGUCACACCAUGGGAGUGGGCUGCAAAAGAAGUAGGUAGUUUAACCUUCGGGGGGACGCUUACCACUUUGUGGUUCAUGACUGGGGUGAAGUCGUAACAAGGUAGCGCUAGGGGAACCUGGCGCUGGAUCACCUCCUUACC